Molecule: long non-coding RNA, 545 nt
Filed under: Triticum aestivum (bread wheat)
Lineage: Eukaryota; Viridiplantae; Streptophyta; Magnoliopsida; Poales; Poaceae
Description: long non-coding RNA (TAES_LNC022344)
Source: RNAcentral
GGUCCCAGGUGCCCGCAGGAUGAAGUACAGACAAUGACACCGUGCAGUUCUUUACAUCUCCCCUUGUAAUUUUGUGAGCUGCAGUAAGGAAUCGAUGUUCGGCUCGAUCCCCUGGUGCCGCUUGAUUUUUUUGUCUUGCAGAUUUUGCUGUGUAGUACUCAUGGAAUUGCAGCUCACAAAAAUUCUUCUUUGUGUUUUUUCAGAUUUUGGAUAUGUGCGGACGUGCAGUACAGUUCCCAUGAGACGCAGCUUGUUUUCGCCCAAGGUCGAUGAUCAUCAGGGCGAGAAGGAAAAGCGGGAGGAGUCCUAGCCACCCCUGACCACAGAUCGUGGAGCCAUGGUCGAGCAGUCGAGUCUGCCUAUUGUUGCAGUCCGUCCCACGGGCACCUGCAAUAUGCAUCGCCCCCACCUGUGUUAAGCUUGGGCUCCCCUUGGAUCGAGCUGCCACCGACGAGGUUUCUUCCAGAUGCAGUGCGGCAACGCGGAAGCAUGCGGUUCCAUGGCAAUCUUUAUGCAGUUUGAUUCAAUCUCCUAUAACCUUCCAC